CUAACACAUGCAAGUCGCACGAGAAAGGGUAGCAAUACCUGAGUAAAGUGGCGCACGGGUGAGUAACACGUGACUAAUCUACCCUCGAGUGGGGAAUAACCUAGAGAAAUCUGGGCUAAUACCGCAUAACACUUACGAGUCAAAGCAGCAAUGCGCUUGGGGAGGAGGUCGCGGCCGAUUAGCUAGUUGGUGGGGUAACGGCCUACCAAGGCUCCGAUCGGUAGCUGGUUUGAGAGAGCGACCAGCCACACUGGGACUGAGAAACGGCCCAGACUCCUACGGGAGGCAGCAGUGAGGAAUUUUCCGCAAUGGGCGAAAGCCUGACGCAGCGACGCCGCGUGGGGGAUGAAGGCCUUCGGGUUGUAAACCCCUUUCACCAGGAGCGAAUCCAGACGGUACCUGGGGAAGAAGCGCCGGCUAACUACGUGCCAGCAGCCGCGGUAAU
RNAcentral lists this ribosomal RNA (445 nucleotides) under uncultured bacterium. RNAcentral's name for it is "bacterial SSU rRNA". It matches the Rfam family "Bacterial small subunit ribosomal RNA", at positions 48 to 524 of the family's 1533-position model. The record is from RNAcentral.